ACACGNGAAACAGAUGCUAAUACCGGAUAACAACAGAUGGUGCCUAUCAACUGUUUAAAAGAUGGUUCUGCUAUCACUCUUGGAUGGACCUGCGGUGCAUUAGCUAGUUGGUAGGGUAACGGCCUACCAAGGCGAUGAUGCAUAGCCGAGUUGAGAGACUGAUCGGCCACAUUGGGACUGAGACACGGCCCAAACUCCUACGGGAGGCAGCAGUA
RNAcentral lists this ribosomal RNA (215 nucleotides) under uncultured Lactobacillus sp. RNAcentral describes it as "partial 16S ribosomal RNA". It matches the Rfam family "Bacterial small subunit ribosomal RNA", at positions 146 to 355 of the family's 1533-position model. The record is from RNAcentral. Lineage: Bacteria; Bacillati; Bacillota; Bacilli; Lactobacillales; Lactobacillaceae.